GAAGAAAGAAGACAAGAAGGACAGACCCAAUGAAAACCCUAGACCAAAAAAGAAAGAAGACAACAACAAUUGCAAUGGAACUCCUCUCUCCAACAAGAUCAACUCUACCUCGACGAGUAGAAGGUAAGGUAGACGGCGUGCAUGCCUCUCUUCUCCUAUUUGUAGCACUACUCGAUUGGGGUGAUUUGCAUAAGUGAUCUAAUCGAUCAAUAUGUGUUAGCAUCCUAUUGGACACUGAAAUGCCAUCAGGUCAUCGUUAUCAAAACAUCCAAUCAUUGUGCUGGGAAGCUUGCAUGCCAUGAUGCCCUCUUGGAAAUUGGAAGCUAGCGCACGUCCCCCAUAAAGGCGGCAUGCCCUGUAGCUCCUUGAGAUAUAGCCCAAGCAAUGCAUGAUGUUAGGACUCCUCCCAUCCAAUGCUCCAAUUGAAGCACUGAAAGUGAGCCAGUAGCAACCAAAGGAAUGCCUCUAUGCAGCCUUGCUUGGGAAAUCCUUAUCAGUGUCAGCCUUAGAGGAGUCAUAGCAUGAAGCCUCAGCAUCCAUUCUAAUCAUCAAUGCCAUGGCAAGUGCAGAAGUUCUCUCCACUUUCUUCAUCCAAGCCAAAAAGAAUGCCUCAACCUCAGAAGUAAGGGACAAGUGAUACACCCU
RNAcentral lists this long non-coding RNA (645 nucleotides) under Elaeis guineensis (African oil palm). RNAcentral's name for it is "long non-coding RNA (EGUI_LNC029405)". The record is from RNAcentral. Lineage: Eukaryota; Viridiplantae; Streptophyta; Magnoliopsida; Arecales; Arecaceae.